GCGAGUUUCGUAUAACGGCUAUUACCUCAGCCUUCCAAGCUGAUGAUACGGGUUCGAUUCCCGUAACCCGCUCCA
Molecule: transfer RNA, 75 nt
Filed under: compost metagenome
Description: tRNA-Gly
Rfam family: tRNA
About the family: Transfer RNA (tRNA) molecules are approximately 80 nucleotides in length.
Source: RNAcentral